CUUGUAUCCCUCAUAUCUAGAACCAUAAAGGAGAGGAUGAAAGCUGCAGGACUGCAAGUGACUUUAGAGACCAUUGAGGCCAACAGAGGGGGGAAACUGAGGCCCAGGGAAAUGGCUUGCUCAGGGGCACACUGCAAGUGAAUAUCAGUGGCAAGGUUUGAUCCCAGGUCUUUGACUCCCAAACCAGUGUCCUUUCCCUGGGCACAGCCAAACCCACCAGGUGCCGUAGGAGCCAGCCCCCAUCAGAGAACAGCAACACCAGAGAACCCAUGGUUCCUCUCUUUAAGCUGAUCAUUGAUGCUAAGGAAGCGAUCCCUCUUUCCCUCUCUCUGUCAUUGUCUGUCACUUUCUCUGUCUCUCUGUCUCCUCCCUCUUUCUGUCUCUAUCUCUUUUUGUCUGUCUGUCUGUCUGUCUCUCUUUUUUGGGGGGGCUACGCAAUGGGGUUUAAGUGACUUGCCCAGGGUCACACAGCUAGUGAGUAUUAUGUGUCUAAGGCUGAAUUUGAACUCAGAUCCUCCUGACUCUCAGGCCAGCACUCUAUCCACUGCACCACCUAGCUGCCCUUCUGUCUCUCUUUCUUGCCCUUUCUCUCCAUCUCUUUGUAUCCCCCCUCUCUCUGUCUCUUUAUUUCUUUUUGUCUGUCUGUCUCCAUCUUUGUCUCUGUCUCUCUUUGUUGUCUCUCCCCCUUCUUUCUCUUCUUCUCUGUUUAUCUCUGUCUUUCUUCCUCUCCAUCUUUGCCUCUCUCCCUCUCUUUUUUUGUCUCUUUCUUUCUCUCCCUGUCUUUCCCUCUUCUUCAUCUCUCUAUCUCAGUUUUCUCUCUUCCUUGCUAUCUCUCUGUCAGUUCUAUUUUUCUUAUUCUGUCUGCCUCUCUCUCCCAUCCUCCUUUCUUUUUGUCUGUCUCUGUCUCCCUUUGUCUAUCUGUCUCUCCUCUCUCUCUCUCUCUCUCUCUCUCUCUCUCUCUCUCUCUCUCUCUCUCUCUCUCUCUCUCUCUCUCUCUCUCUCUCUCCCUCCCUCCCUCCCUCCC
Molecule: long non-coding RNA, 1024 nt
Filed under: Phascolarctos cinereus (koala)
Lineage: Eukaryota; Metazoa; Chordata; Mammalia; Diprotodontia; Phascolarctidae
Description: lncRNA (ENSPCIG00000033232.1)
Source: RNAcentral